Molecule: ribosomal RNA, 484 nt
Filed under: uncultured bacterium
Lineage: Bacteria
Description: partial 16S ribosomal RNA
Rfam family: Bacterial small subunit ribosomal RNA
Source: RNAcentral
AUUGAACGCUGGCGGCAGGCUUAACACAUGCAAGUCGAGCGGAUGAAGGGAGCUUGCUCCUGGAUUCAGCGGCGGACGGGUGAGUAAUGCCUAGGAAUCUGCCUGGUAGUGGGGGAUAACGUCCGGAAACGGGCGCUAAUACCGCAUACGUCCUGCGGGAGCAAGUGGGGGAUCUUCGGACCUCACGCUAUCAGAUGAGCCUAGGUCGGAUUAACUAGUUGGUGGGGUAAAGGCCUACCAAGGCGACGAUCCGCAACUGGUCUGAGAGGAUGAUCAGUCACACUGGAACUGAGACACGGUCCAGACUCCUACGGGAGGCAGCAGAGGGGAACAGUGGGCAGUAGGCGAAAGCCUGAUCCAGCCGUGCGGAGUGUGUGAAGAAGGUCUUCGGAUUGUAAAGCACUUUAAGGUGGGAGGAAGGGCAGUAAGUUAAUACGUUGCUGUUGUGACGGUAACAACAGAAUAAGCACCGGCUAACUUCGUG